RNAcentral lists this ribosomal RNA (809 nucleotides) under uncultured Bacillota bacterium. RNAcentral's name for it is "bacterial SSU rRNA". It matches the Rfam family "Bacterial small subunit ribosomal RNA", at positions 58 to 872 of the family's 1533-position model. The record is from RNAcentral. Lineage: Bacteria; Bacillati; Bacillota.
CAAGUCGAGUGCGCGGUUGUAGCAAUACAACUGGCGCACGGCGCACGGGUGCGUAACACGUGGGUAAUCUGCCCUCUGAUGGGGAAUAACCCCGCGAAAGCGGGGCUAAUACCGCAUAACAUUCCGGAAACUCUGGUUUUUGGAUUGAAAGGCGCAAGUCGUCGGAGGAGGAGCCCGCGCCCGAUUAGCUAGUUGGUAGGGUAAUGGCCUACCAAGGCUUUGAUCGGUAGCUGGUCUGAGAGGAUGGCCAGCCACACUGGAACUGAGACACGGUCCAGACUCCUACGGGAGGCAGCAGUGGGGAAUCUUGCACAAUGGGCGAAAGCCUGAUGCAGCGACGCCGCGUGGGGGAUGAAGCUACUCGGAGUGUAAACCCCUUUCGAUCCGGACGAAUGCCCGCAAGGGAGCGACGGUACGGAUAUAAGAAGCCCCGGCUAACUACGUGCCAGCAGCCGCGGUAAGACGUAGGGGGCCAGCGUUGUUCGGAAUUACUGGGUGUAAAGGGUUCGUAGGCGGUGUAGCAAGUCGGGAGUGAAAUCUCUGGGCUUAACCCAGAGGCUGCUUCCGAAACUGCUGUGCUUGAGUGUGGGAGAGGCGCGUGGAAUUGCAGGUGUAGCGGUGAAAUGCGUAGAUAUCUGCAGGAACACCCGUGGCGAAAGCGGCGCGCUGGACCACUACUGACGCUGAGGAACGAAAGCUAGGGGAGCAAACAGGAUUAGAUACCCUGGUAGUCCUAGCCCUAAACGAUCAGGACUUGGGGUGCCACCCGUUCGGGUGUCGUCCCGGAGCUAACGCGUUAAGUCCUGCAC